CUGGACACCACUGGCCUUCUUUUGAUGAAGCCUUUCGCUCUGGAUUCCCAAAGCAAGAAAUUAUCUGCCAGCGAUCCAGCAUCCAACCCCAGCUGCUAGGUGUAAUAUUCCUGGACUCCCAGAAGCAAACUCUGCAUAUUACUUCCUGCCAUUGCAAGCCAUUCC
Molecule: long non-coding RNA, 165 nt
Organism: Choloepus didactylus (southern two-toed sloth)
Lineage: Eukaryota; Metazoa; Chordata; Mammalia; Pilosa; Megalonychidae
Exons: 3
Source: RefSeq, a predicted model, not a curated record